UACGGCGAGUGAAGCGGGAUGAGCUCAAAUUUAAAAUCUGGCGGUCUCAGAUCGUCCGAGUUGUAGUCUAGAGAAGCGUUUUCCGUGCUGGCCUGUGUACAAGUCCGUUGGAACACGGCGUCAUAGAGGGUGAGAAUCCCGUCCUUGACACAGAUCUCCAGUGCUUUGUGAUGCGCUCUCAAAGAGUCGAGUUGUUUGGGAAUGCAGCUCAAAAUGGGUGGUAAAUUCCAUCUAAAGCUAAAUAUUGGCGAGAAACCGAUAGCGAACAAGUACCGUGAGGGAAAGAUGAAAAGCACUUUGGAAAGAGAGUUAAACAGUACGUGAAAUUGUUGAAAGGGAAACGAUUGAAGUCAGUCAUGCUUUCCGAGACUCAGCCGGUUCUGCCGGUGUACUUCUCGGUUUGCAGGCCAGCAUCAGUUUUGGGCGGUGGAAAAGGUUGGCGGGAAUGUGGCAUCUUCGGAUGUGUUAUAGCCCGCUUUCGAAUACAUCGCCCGGGACUGAGGAACGCAGCACGCCUCUUGUAGGUCGGUCUUCGGACACGUCCGUGCUUAGGAUGCUGGCAUAAUGGCUUUAAACGACCCGUCUUGAANNNCGA
This 595-nucleotide ribosomal RNA is filed under the name Tausonia pullulans. Its description in RNAcentral is "LSU rRNA". It matches the Rfam family "Eukaryotic large subunit ribosomal RNA", at positions 85 to 664 of the family's 3401-position model. The record is from RNAcentral. Lineage: Eukaryota; Fungi; Basidiomycota; Tremellomycetes; Cystofilobasidiales; Mrakiaceae.